UCCCUUUUGCGAUGCUUCAGAAACCAGGU
Molecule: non-coding RNA, 29 nt
Filed under: Rattus norvegicus (Norway rat)
Lineage: Eukaryota; Metazoa; Chordata; Mammalia; Rodentia; Muridae
Source: RNAcentral